CCCUUAGAUGUUCUGGGCCGCACGCGCGCUACACUGACGGAUUCAACGAGCUUACAACCUUGGCCGAAAGGUCUGGGUAAUCUCCAAAAUCCGUCGUGAUGGGGAUAGAUUAUUGCAAUUAUUAAUCUUCAACGAGGAAUGCCUAGUAAGCGCAAGUCAUCAGCUUGCGUUGAUUACGUCCCUGCCCUUUGUACACACCGCCCGUCGCUCCUACCGAUUGAAUGGUCCGGUGAAGCGUUUGGACUAUGGUUUUCUGAUGGUCCGCCGUUGGAUUACCGCGGGAAGUUCGUUAAACCUUAUCAUUUAGAGGAAGGAGAAGUCGUAACA
RNAcentral lists this ribosomal RNA (327 nucleotides) under uncultured eukaryote. RNAcentral's name for it is "partial 18S ribosomal RNA". It matches the Rfam family "Eukaryotic small subunit ribosomal RNA", at positions 1470 to 1796 of the family's 1831-position model. The record is from RNAcentral.